Molecule: ribosomal RNA, 2059 nt
Filed under: Incisocalliope aestuarius
Lineage: Eukaryota; Metazoa; Arthropoda; Malacostraca; Amphipoda; Pleustidae
Description: partial 18S ribosomal RNA
Rfam family: Eukaryotic small subunit ribosomal RNA
Source: RNAcentral
UCAGUCGUGGUCCAAAUGGGCUCGAGUUAUCUUACUUGGAUAACUGUGGUAAUUCCAGAGCUAAUACAUGCAACUGAAGUCCCGAUCGGCGUGUGCUCUUGCACACMACGAGACRGAUGCUUUUAUUASACCAMACCGCUGAGAGAGCUUAUGCUCUCRUASACUCGUGUUAKGGUGACUCUGGAUAACACCUCUUUGACAAGCGCACGUAUCCWUUUACUUGRGACGGCKCUACCUCUUUCGAGUGUCUGCCUUAUCAGCUAUGUAUCGUUCGUUAUGUGCGACCGAUGGCUUUGACGGGUAACGGGGAAUCAGGGUUCGAUUCCGGAGAGGCAGCSUGAGAAACGGCUACCACGUCCAAGGACGGCAGCAGGCACGCAAAUUACCCAAUCCCAGCACAUGUGGGGGAGGUAGUGACGAAAUCUAACGAUGCGGGCGCCCCUUCUGGGGCCCCGCAAUCGGAAUGAGCGCUUUUUCUUUCUAAACACCCCGUUGAGAACCUACUGAAGGGCAAGUCUGGUGCCAGCAGCCGCGGUAAUUCCAGCUUCAGCAGCAUCUACUAAAGUUGCUGCGGUUAAAAGGCUCGCAGUUGAAUGUCAGUAUCAAGUACAGCGAUGGUGGACGUUGGAGUGUGGGAGUGCGAGUGUGUUCUCUCGUGGGCCGGUGUGUGUUGUAAUGACAUAUCUCUGGUUCGCGGUGGCGCGCGCGCCUCUCCAUUUAUAAAGCUCCCGUCCGUAACAAGCCUCCUUACUUGCGUACAUAAGUGAUCUAUCGGCACAUAAGUCGUGGCGCCCGUGCGCGAUACAAUUACGUGUCGUGUUGUGGGAUCACGUCACGGCGGAAAGUCGUUGAUCGAGAUUGUCACCUUGAGUAAAUCAGAGUGCUCAAAGCAGUCGUAAGGAACAUUUGUGCGGCAUUCGCGUGUCGUACGUGUUCUGUGACUAAUGUCUUUAUUGACAGACAGUCUUGGUUUUGCAUGGUAUGUCGGAAGACGCCGUACUUCCUGUUGGUAACGAGUCUGGUGCGGUGCGCUGCUUGUACUCACACUUAUGAUCGCGCUUGCAUUUGUGUGUGAUGAGUCUGUGUGUGCAACACGAUAUGAGACCAACAGGUGCGGAAUGAUUAACAGGAACGGUCGAGGGCAUUGGUAUUGCGAGGCGAGAGGUGAAAUUCUAUGACCCCCGCAAGACCUCCUGAAGCGAAAGCGUCUGCCAAGGACGCAGGCGUGGAGCGUGCGGCUUAAUUUGACUCAACACGGGCCAUCUCWCCAGGCCAGCACUCUUGUACGAUUGACAGAUUGAGAGUUCUUUCUCGAUUCAGUGGAUGGUGGUGCAUGGCCGUUCUUAGUUGGUGGAGUGAUCUGUCUGGUUAAUUCCGAUAACGAACGAGACUCUCCCCUGCUAACUAGUCGGUUGGAUCUUGUGUCUGGAGAGUUGUGUGUUGCGCGCGCUCGCACUUGUGUGCUCAGACUCACUCGGGGUUAAUUCCUCUUGUGUUAUGGGUACGCUCGUGUAUGAGUGUGUGUUUUCGUACACUCCAAGUCCGCCGCUUACUCGUGUGUACGCGAGGUGUAACAGCCGAGCCGAGCGCGUUUAAAACUCUUCUUAGAGGGAUUCACGGUUCUGAAGCCGUAAGAAACUGAGAGCAAUAACAGGUCUGUGAUGCCCUUAGAUGUUCUGGGCCGCACGCGCGCUACAAUGCCGGGCUCAGCAGGUAUCUAUCCUUCUCCGACAGGAGUGGGUAACCCUCUGAAAGCCCUCUCUAUAUUAUCAAUGUGGUUACGUGUGUGUUUACUCGCGCACGUUUCCAUAUCCCUGGCUUGCUUGGGCCUGGUGCUUGCAAUUAUUUACCACAAACGAGGAAUGCCUAGUAGCGGCGGGUCACUGAGCCCGCCGUGACUCAGUCCCUGCCCUUUGUACACACCGCCCGUCGCUACUACCGAUUGGGUGUACCAGUGAGAUCCUUGGACUGGCGAACCUUGUACACUAGCGAUAGAGUACAAGCGUGCACGACRGRAASASGCUCKAACUGGUGCACUUAGAGGAAGUAUCAGUCGUAA